AGCUCCAAGAGCGUAUAUUAAAGUUGUUGCAGUUAAAAAGCUCGUAGUUGGAUUUCUGGUAUAAUGCGCCUGGCCCGCGACGGUUACGUCUGUGAGUGCCGGUGCGCGUUUGCCAUCCUUCUAGAAAACGUUUCUACCCUUCGUUGGGCCGGACUCGCGAUCUAGAUCUUUUACUUUGAAAAAAUUAGAGUGUUUAAAGCAGGCCUUUGCUAUGAAUACAUUAGCAUGGAAUAAUAAUCUAGGACUUCGGUUCUAUUUUGUUGGUUUCUAGUACUGAAGUAAUGAUUGAUAGGGAUAGUUGGGGGUGCUAGUAUUGGCCGGCCAGAGGUGAAAUUCUUGGAUUCGGUCAAGACUAACUUAUGCGAAAGCAUUCACCAAGGAUGUCUUCU
RNAcentral lists this ribosomal RNA (389 nucleotides) under uncultured eukaryote. RNAcentral describes it as "SSU rRNA". It matches the Rfam family "Eukaryotic small subunit ribosomal RNA", at positions 587 to 972 of the family's 1831-position model. The record is from RNAcentral.